CUUCAUAUGCGCGGGAGCUUGGUGAAGCCAGGCUGAGAGGAUAACCGAAUGUUAUCGACCGUUAAACCUGAUCUGGGUAAUGCCAGCGGAGGAAACACGUAGCCUUUGUAU
RNAcentral lists this non-coding RNA (111 nucleotides) under Paenibacillus sp. Its description in RNAcentral is "TPP sequence". It matches the Rfam family "TPP riboswitch aptamer (THI element)". From Rfam's summary of the family: Vitamin B(1) in its active form thiamin pyrophosphate (TPP) is an essential coenzyme that is synthesised by coupling of pyrimidine and thiazole moieties in bacteria. The previously detected thiamin-regulatory element, thi box was extended, resulting in a new, highly conserved RNA secondary structure, the THI element, which is widely distributed in eubacteria and also occurs in some archaea. Lineage: Bacteria; Bacillati; Bacillota; Bacilli; Caryophanales; Paenibacillaceae. The record is from RNAcentral. RNAcentral also lists the same sequence under 1 other name.